Molecule: ribosomal RNA, 674 nt
Filed under: uncultured beta proteobacterium
Lineage: Bacteria; Pseudomonadati; Pseudomonadota; Betaproteobacteria
Description: bacterial SSU rRNA
Rfam family: Bacterial small subunit ribosomal RNA
Source: RNAcentral
AAACAGGAUUAGAUACCCUGGUAGUCCACGCCCUAAACGAUGCUGACUAGUUGUUCGGGAUUUACAUCCUGAGUAACGUAGCUAACGCGUGAAGUCAGCCGCCUGGGGAGUACGGUCGCAAGAUUAAAACUCAAAGGAAUUGACGGGGACCCGCACAAGCGGUGGAUGAUGUGGAUUAAUACGAUGCAACGCGAAAAACCUUACCUACCCUUGACAUGUCACUAACGAAGUAGAGAUACAUUAGGUGCUCGUAAGAGAAAGUGAACACAGGUGCUGCAUGGCUGUCGUCAGCUCGUGUCGUGAGAUGUUGGGUUAAGUCCCGCAACGAGCGCAACCCUUGUCUUUAGUUGCUACGCAAGAGCACUCUAAAGAGACUGCCGGUGACAAACCGGAGGAAGGUGGGGAUGACGUCAAGUCCUCAUGGCCCUUAUGGGUAGGGCUUCACACGUCAUACAAUGGUGCAUACAGAGGGUUGCCAACCCGCGAGGGGGAGCUAAUCUCAGAAAAUGCAUCGUAGUCCGGAUCGUAGUCUGCAACUCGACUACGUGAAGCUGGAAUCGCUAGUAAUCGCGGAUCAGAAUGUCGCGGUGAAUACGUUCCCGGGUCUUGUACACACCGCCCGUCAUACCAUGGGAGUGGGUUUUGCCAGAAGCCGUUAGCCUAACCGCAAGGAG